UACGUAGGGUGCAAGCGUUGUCCGGAAUUAUUGGGCGUAAAGAGCUCGUAGGCGGUUUGUCGCGUCGGAUGUGAAAACCUGGGGCUUAACCCCGGGCCUGCAUUCGAUACGGGCAGACUAGAGUUCGGUAGGGGAGACUGGAAUUCCUGGUGUAGCGGUGAAAUGCGCAGAUAUCAGGAGGAACACCGGUGGCGAAGGCGGGUCUCUGGGCCGAUACUGACGCUGAGGAGCGAAAGCGUGGGGAGCGAACAGG
This 253-nucleotide ribosomal RNA is filed under the name uncultured bacterium. RNAcentral describes it as "partial 16S ribosomal RNA". It matches the Rfam family "Bacterial small subunit ribosomal RNA", at positions 524 to 776 of the family's 1533-position model. The record is from RNAcentral.